This 117-nucleotide non-coding RNA is filed under the name Gorilla gorilla gorilla (western lowland gorilla). The record is from Rfam by way of RNAcentral. Lineage: Eukaryota; Metazoa; Chordata; Mammalia; Primates; Hominidae.
GCCGGGUGUGGUGGCUCACACCUGUAAUCCCAGCACUCUGGGAGGCCGAGGUGGGUGGAUCACCUGAGGUCAGGAGUUUGAGACCAGCCUGGCCAACAUGGUGAAACCCUGUCUCUA